This 79-nucleotide transfer RNA is filed under the name Acidilobus sp. 7A. Its description in RNAcentral is "tRNA-Arg". It matches the Rfam family "tRNA". Rfam says of the family: Transfer RNA (tRNA) molecules are approximately 80 nucleotides in length. Their secondary structure includes four short double-helical elements and three loops (D, anti-codon, and T loops). The record is from RNAcentral. RNAcentral also lists the same sequence under 1 other name. Lineage: Archaea; Thermoproteati; Thermoproteota; Thermoprotei; Acidilobales; Acidilobaceae.
GGGCCCGUGGCGCAGCCAGGAUCAGCGCGCCAGCCUCCGGAGCUGGUGGUCCCGGGUUCAAAUCCCGGCGGGCCCGCCA